AGUAAUUGAAAGAAAAAAGCUUUGAAAACUCUUUGCUUAUAAUCUGACUUCAUUGUCCUUCGUGACCAAGAAAAUUUCAAGAACCCACAAAUUGGAAAAUGGAAAUUAAAAAUACAAGGGUCAAAUUUAAUUAAAUUAGGAAUUGAUUAUCGAAUUAUGCCUAUUGAAUGGAACAAAAUGUGAUAGGGAGCCUCUUAGGCAAGAAGUUGAACACCGAUCUAGCUCCAAUGUAAGAGGCUGGUCUUGUACAAACUUUGGUGAGCAUGCUUCAUAUUUUCUCGAUUGCAUUAACCUCUUUUCAUCCACCAUGAGAAUUCCACCGAGUUUGACAGCCAU
This 336-nucleotide unclassified non-coding RNA is filed under the name Hevea brasiliensis (rubber tree). The record is from RNAcentral. Lineage: Eukaryota; Viridiplantae; Streptophyta; Magnoliopsida; Malpighiales; Euphorbiaceae.